CCGGGGGGAANNCNCCAUAUACCUUCAUUCAAGGCUUCCUUCCAAGUAGCAACGGCUAGUUAACCGCCAACAGCUCAAAUUUGAAAUCUGGCGCUCCGGUGCCCGAGUUGUAAUUUGCAGAGGAUGCUUUUGGCCAGGUGCCUUCCGAGUUCCCUGGAACGGGACGCCAUAGAGGGUGAGAGCCCCGUACGGUCUGGUGCCUAGCCGCUGUAAAGCUCCCUCGACGAGUCGAGUAGUUUGGGAAUGCUGCUCUAAAUGGGAGGUAAACUCCUUCUAAAGCUAAAUAUUGGCCAGAGACCGAUAGCGCACAAGUAGAGUGAUCGAAAGAUGAAAAGCACUUUGAAAAGAGAGUUAAAUAGCACGUGGAAAUUGUUGAAAGGGAAGCCGCUUGUGACCAGACUUGGGCUUGGUAGUUCAGCCGUCCUUUUGGGCGGUGCAUUCUGCCGGUUCAGGCCAGCCAUCAGUUGCCGGCUGGGUAGAAUUGUACUGGGAAUGUGGCCUCUUCGGAGUGUUAUAGCCCGCUACGUAAUGCCCUACUGGCGACUGAGGUUAGCCGUUUUCACCGGAUGCUGGCGUAAUGGUAUAUUAGCGGACCGCUCUUGAAACACCGACCCAAGGAGUUCGUUCCUGCUAUGCGCAGUGUUUGGGGUGUUAAACCCCCUACCGCGAAAAUGAAAAGUGAACGCAGGUGAAAAGCUACGGGCGCCAUUCAUCCGACCCGGAUCCUUGAUUGUUAUACCGGAUGGGAUUUGAAGUUCCGAAGCAUUAGCCCGGUCCCGGACCCCGCAAAGAAAGUAAAGCAAAAGGACCCGGAAAGCCCCUAAAUUUUUAAUGGCCGUAUUGUUACUAAACGUGGUAAUUUUAAUAGGGUGAAACUAUGCUUUGAAUAAGGCAAAGCCAGAAGGAAACUUUGGGUGGAGGUCGCCACGGUUUUUGACGUGGCAAUUCAUCCUCAAAUUUGACCUUGGGGCGAAAGAAUAAUCAAACCUUUUAGUANCUGGUUUUAACCGAAUUUCCUCAGGAAACACGGUUGAUUUCUUUUAUGAGGAAGCC
RNAcentral lists this ribosomal RNA (1053 nucleotides) under Morakotiella salina. RNAcentral's name for it is "eukaryotic LSU rRNA". It matches the Rfam family "Eukaryotic large subunit ribosomal RNA", at positions 1 to 1015 of the family's 3401-position model. Lineage: Eukaryota; Fungi; Ascomycota; Sordariomycetes; Microascales; Halosphaeriaceae. The record is from RNAcentral.